Molecule: unclassified non-coding RNA, 224 nt
Filed under: plant metagenome
Description: partial contains small subunit ribosomal RNA and internal transcribed spacer 1
Rfam family: Eukaryotic small subunit ribosomal RNA (bases 1-46)
Source: RNAcentral
AAGUCGUAACAAGGUUUCCGUAGGUGAACCUGCGGAAGGAUCAUUAUCGAAUCGUAGGCGAGGGUUGUCGCUGGCCUCUCGGGGCAUGUGCACGCGAAUCCCAAACACCACAUGUGAACCCACCGUAGGCCUUCGGGCCUAUGUCUUAUCAUAUAAUCCGAAUGUCUAAUAGAAUGUAAACCCAUUUCGUUGCCUUGAAAACGUAACGAAAGAAAACUAUACAA